RNAcentral lists this long non-coding RNA (727 nucleotides) under Homo sapiens (human). RNAcentral describes it as "HSALNT0241932". Lineage: Eukaryota; Metazoa; Chordata; Mammalia; Primates; Hominidae. The record is from RNAcentral.
CAGGAGACCUAAGUUUAGUCUACUAAGACCCUUCCUUGUGUCCUUGGAUCACUGGCCUGAGUCCAGAGAAUUCUGAGCCCUGCAGCCCUUUCUGCCUGGAGGGGAACCGAGCAGGGAGGGAGCUGCACCAAACAUGCGCCCUCUGCUCCUUAGAGGCCUGAUGCUCCCUUCAGUUUACUCUGGCUUGACAGCUCCAUUUCAACCCCCACCUUGGAGAUGAGGCAGCUCAAUAUUUACUCAGCCAGAGAGGUUUGUCCAGAAGCCUGCCUCCCCAGCCUCCUCCUGUUGGCUCUGCUCUGUUGCCCCCACCCCCUUCCUUCCCGGUUCAUAGAGAGUUCAGCCCUGCAAUGGCUUGCAGCCCCCUCCACUCCCCAGCCCUGACAGAGCCGCCUGUCGGGGGACUGCUGAGGCCAGAAGAGCGGGGGAAGGGCACCAGUCAGUCGUGGGGUCAUGUCCUGGUCUCUCCACCCUUACUGGACCAGCAGCCUAGGCCUCUAGAAGAAGAGAAGACUCAGCAAAUGAUUGUCUUUUGGGGGAAGAGUGCGUGGAGAUUGGCUAAAAUGGAACUGUGGGGUUGGGGACAUGAUCCAGGACUGUAAAAGCUUCACAUAGCUGUGUGCAAUAUUAUAAACCAUGGUUUAUGGUAGAGAAACUUGGUAAAUUUGUAACAGUCUGAACUCUUUCCAAAGACACGAAAAGAGCUAAUACAAUAAAUAAGUGACACUUG